Molecule: long non-coding RNA, 484 nt
Filed under: Homo sapiens (human)
Lineage: Eukaryota; Metazoa; Chordata; Mammalia; Primates; Hominidae
Description: HSALNT0233247
Source: RNAcentral
CAGUAGAAAACAGAUGAAUACACCUAGAUUUCUUCCUGCGUGAAUCCAGUUGAGGGGAAGGUAUAAAAUUUUCAAAUGGAGGAGUAUACCUGAACCUAAUCAUGGAUGUGAUUUUAUGUAAGUAAUAUGUGAGAUACAGAUAAGCUGAUUCUAAAACUUACAAGAAUGGCAAAGAAACAAGAAGAGCUUAAACUGCAAUCAUCAACAGAGAAGCUUUCUGCAACCAAAGUGAAGACUGAAGCCUUAGGCUAUGGCAGAAGUUGGGCGCCUGAAGUACACGUGGAAAUAUGCCAACUGAACAUUGGACUACCACGUCAAGGGUCUCCUACCCCUGGGCCAUGGAUCAAUACCAGUCUGUGACCUGUUAGGAACCGGUAGCAGGAGCGCCUGCCCCUGGCUCAGCGCCCGGUGCCAACAGAACACCUUUCAGGAUCCACAGCAACGCAGACAACAAUCCCGGCCUCUGCUUGGAACGGAACAGUGU